Molecule: ribosomal RNA, 262 nt
Filed under: uncultured bacterium
Lineage: Bacteria
Description: partial 16S ribosomal RNA
Rfam family: Bacterial small subunit ribosomal RNA (bases 31-262)
Source: RNAcentral
UACAGGAGGGUUGCCAAGCUGUUUGGUCCGGAAUUUAUUGGGUUUAAAGGGUGCGUAGGCGGCCCUGUAAGAUCAGUGGUGAAAUACUGCAGCUUAACUGUAAGCAUUGCCAUUGAUACUGCAGGGCUUGAGUACAGAUGAGGUAGGCGGAAUUGAUGGUGUAGCGGUGAAAUGCAUAGAUACCAUCAAGAACACCGAUUGCGAAGGCAGCUUACUAGCUGUAACUGACGCUGAGGCACGGAAAGCGUGGGGAUCGAACAGG